Molecule: long non-coding RNA, 201 nt
Organism: Helianthus annuus (common sunflower)
Lineage: Eukaryota; Viridiplantae; Streptophyta; Magnoliopsida; Asterales; Asteraceae
Exons: 3
Source: RefSeq, a predicted model, not a curated record
UUAUAUUAUAAUAUGAGGGUGUUUGGGGUUCCUUUUUUUUGAGGAAAAAAGGACUUUUGAAGGGAAAAAAGGACUUUUGAGGGUGUUUGGCUUUCCUUUUGAAGGCAAAAGUCCUUUGCAAAAGCUAGAAGUCAGGUUUUUCUGACUUAUUUUUUUCAAAAGAACUUUUGGAAAAGUUGAAAAUAAGUUAAGCCAAACAUG